AUGUUUUGGAUUGAUUGAGUUUUGUGGCUAUGACGUGAAGGAGCCUCACAUGUCAGGAUAAAAAUAGCUCUGGCCUCAAUAGACAGCCCGAGUUACAGUGCAACAGAACCAGAUGCGAAAACAUUAGCCACUAAGCUCAGACUCUACUUACAAGGUUCCAGCUUCCUUCUCUACCCCAUUCCCUGUUGUCCAACUGAAGAUUUGCUGCCUGGAGGAGGCAGGAAUGGCCAGAAGGAGGGAGUUGUGGAAUUGGAGGCAGCACCCCUUCCAUGGCUUCACGGAUGAAAGGACAUGACACCAACCCCUGCAACCUGGUCCUGGAAGUAACCGCCCAAGACAGGAGCUGGAACCUCACCCAUAUCUGGGAGGUUUUCUGCUGUUUGGCUCAUAAGACAAGAUAAUGGGUCAAAGAGGGAAGGGCUCAGGACCAAGGGACAUCCUUCCUGGACAAUGGGCCUGGGGAACAUCAGCUCACUCUUGGUAACCUGUUCCCAGCCAUCCUUUAUUUUGAUCAUCUCUCAUCCUUGAUGGGUACCUGCUGUUAGGGACUCAUACGUGAAUAAAACCUAGGUCUUGUAGCCUGAGAUGUACACAGCGCAUACAAGACAUUUGGUAAUCCUGAUAAAAUCUGAGUCUAGAAGCGGGGAUGAUCUGUGUGCUUGUAUUUCUAUGAC
Long non-coding RNA from Mus musculus (house mouse), 674 nucleotides. RefSeq annotates it as predicted gene, 53454. The transcript is spliced from 3 exons. The record is from RefSeq and is a predicted model, not a curated record. NCBI's taxonomy places the organism in Eukaryota, Metazoa, Chordata, Mammalia, Rodentia, Muridae.